GCCUGAUCCAGCCAUGCCGCGUGCAGGAUGACGGUCCUAUGGAUUGUAAACUGCUUUUGUACGAGAAGAAACACUCCUUCGUGAAGGAGCUUGACGGUAUCGUAAGAAUAAGGAUCGGCUAACUCCGUGCCAGCAGCCGCGGUAAUACGGAGGAUCCAAGCGUUAUCCGGAAUCAUUGGGUUUAAAGGGUCCGUAGGCGGUCUAGUAAGUCAGUGGUGAAAGCCCAUCGCUCAACGGUGGAACGGCCAUUGAUACUGCUGGACUUGAAUUAUUGGGAAGUAACUAGAAUAUGUAGUGUAGCGGUGAAAUGCUUAGAGAUUACAUGGAAUACCAAUUGCGAAGGCAGGUUACUACCAAUUGAUUGACGCUGAUGGACGAAAGCGUGGGUAGCGAACAGGAUUAGAUACCCUGGUAGUCCACGCCGUAAACGAUGGAUACUAGCUGUUGGGCGCAAGCUCAGUGGCUAAGCGAAAGUGAUAAGUAUCCCACCUGGGGAGUACGUUCGCAAGAAUGAAACUCAAAGGAAUUGACGGGGGCCCGCACAAGCGGUGGAGCAUGUGGUUUAAUUCGAUGAUACGCGAGGAACCUUACCAAGGCUUAAAUGUAGAUUGACCGUUUUGGAAACAGAACUUUCGC
Molecule: ribosomal RNA, 636 nt
Filed under: Flavobacterium sp. So3Pw_2835
Lineage: Bacteria; Pseudomonadati; Bacteroidota; Flavobacteriia; Flavobacteriales; Flavobacteriaceae
Description: bacterial SSU rRNA
Rfam family: Bacterial small subunit ribosomal RNA
Source: RNAcentral